Molecule: ribosomal RNA, 503 nt
Filed under: uncultured bacterium
Lineage: Bacteria
Description: partial 16S ribosomal RNA
Rfam family: Bacterial small subunit ribosomal RNA
Source: RNAcentral
AUUGAACGCUGGCGGCAGGCUUAACACAUGCAAGUCGAGCGGGGUGAUGGUGCUUGCACUAUCACUUAGCGGCGGACGGGUGAGUAAUGCUUAGGAAUCUGCCUAUUAGUGGGGGACAACAUCUCGAAAGGGAUGCUAAUACCGCAUACGUCCUACGGGAGAAAGCAGGGGAUCACUUGUGACCUUGCGCUAAUAGAUGAGCCUAAGUCGGAUUAGCUAGUUGGUGGGGUAAAGGCCUACCAAGGCGACGAUCUGUAGCGGGUCUGAGAGGAUGAUCCGCCACACUGGGACUGAGACACGGCCCAGACUCCUACGGGAGGCAGCAGUGGGGAAUAUUGGACAAUGGGGGGAACCCUAAUCCAGCCAUGCCGCGUGUGUGAAGAAGGCCUUAUGGUUGUAAGGCACUUUAAGCGAGGAGGAGGCUCUUUUGGUUAAUACCCAAGAUGAGUGGACGUUACUCGCAGAAUAAGCACCGGCUAACUCUGUGCCAGCAGCCGCCGUAA